GGAUUAGAUACCCUGGUAGUCCACGCCGUAAACGAUGGGUACUAGCUGUUGGGCAGAGAUGCUUAGUGGCGAAGCUAACGCGAUAAGUACCCCGCCUGGGGAGUACGGCCGCAAGGUUAAAACUCAAAGGAAUUGACGGGGACCCGCACAAGCGGUGGAGCAUGUUGUUUAAUUCGAUGCAACGCGAAGAACCUUACCUAGACUUGAUCCCUAUCAUAGCUCUUGUAAUGAGAGUGUCAGUUCGGCUGGAUAGGUGACAGGUGCUGCAUGGCUGUCGUCAGCUCGUGCUG
RNAcentral lists this ribosomal RNA (290 nucleotides) under uncultured bacterium. RNAcentral's name for it is "partial 16S ribosomal RNA". It matches the Rfam family "Bacterial small subunit ribosomal RNA", at positions 775 to 1067 of the family's 1533-position model. The record is from RNAcentral.